GAGUGCAGUACCUGUUUCCCAGAAGUACACAGACUUAACGUCCUCCGCCGUCUGUGUGUUAACCCUCCAGGUGCCACAGAGUAGCAGUACUGCUGCCCAGAGGUAUUGGCUGCCCUUCGUCUUAACGUUUGGGGUCCUUCCCGCACCCCUCCACCUCCACCCAAACCCCAUGGUCCUCUCCAGGGUUAAAGUAAAUCCACACAGUCACAGAAGGUUCCGGCAGGCCAAGAUAGCCCGAUACGUGCAAAGGUUCCAAAGGCAGAAAAAAACUAUUUGUGUGAUUUGUCCCACUAAAGGACUGGUGCUUCCUCUCCUGAAGGGCAGAGCAAGUGAAUACUCUGUCUCUGUCUCUCUCUCUCUCUUUCUCUCCUCCACUACCCAGUUCAACUCAGUGUGUUCCCAGAAGAAGCCUGUCAGUUAGAGGAGUAGAGGUCCAGACAGACCGUUGAUCCUCCAUGCUCUCUGGUGCUGCUGCUGUUCUCAGCGGCUUCUGCCUCUGUCCUCUGGCUGUGGAGCAGUGACAGUGGCUGUGUGUCUGCAGUGGUACCUCCCCCUCCCUCUCCCUCUCCCUCUCGCUCUCUCUUUCUGCUUCUCUCUUUUAGUCACUCUCUUCCCGUCUUUCUAGACUCCAACUGCCUCUUUUUUUUAUACACGCUGUCUCUUGCCCGGGGCACAGGGACGGAUAUGUCUUCUCUUCCACUCCUAGCUAGCAGCACUGAGAGGACAACGGGAGACCAGCAUUCACACUGAGUAUAGCAGCUGCUGUAAACUCACCUCCUAGGAUCGGAAACAGUGUAGCUGCUGUAAACUCACCUCCUAGGAUCGGAAACAGUGUAGCUGCUGUAAACUCACCUCCCAAGAUCAGUGAAUGAGUAGCAUAAAGCAGGAAGAUGGAGACAUGGAGGGGCAUGGGAGAGGGAAUUUCUAGGCGCAGCCAGGGGCCGGAGAAUGUCAGGUUUGGGGACCACAUGAUUUCGUCUCUGCUCUUUGCGGAUGAUGUUGUCGUGUUGGCCCCUUCUAACCAGGACCUUCAGCAUGCGCUGGGACGGUUUGCAGCCGAGUGUGAAGCGGUGGGGAUGAGAAUCAGUACCUCCAAAUCCGAGGCCAUUGUCCUCAAUCGAAAAAGGGUGGCUUGCCCACUUCAGGUUGGUGGAGAGUGCUUGCCUCAAGUGGAGGAGUUUAAGUAUCUAGGGGUCUUGUUCACGAGUGAGGAAAGGAUGGAACGGGAGAUUGACAGACAGAUCGGUGCAGCUUCUGCAGUAAUACGGUCAAUGUAUCGGUCUUGUCUUGGUGAAGAAAGAGCUGAGCCGCAAGGCGAAGCUCUCGAUUUACCAGUCAAUCUACGUUCCUACUCUCACCUAUGGUCAUGAGCUUUGGGUCAUGACCGAAAAGACAAGAUCCCGGAUACAGGUGGCCAAAAUGAGCUUUCUCCACAGGGUGGCUGGGCGAUCCUUAGAGAUAGAAUGAGAAGCUCGGUCACCCGGGAGGAGCUCAGAGUACAGCCGCUGCUCCUCCACAUCGAGAGGGGUCAACUGAGGUGGCUUGGGCAUCUGUUCCGGAUGCCUCCGGAACGCCUUCCUGGGAAGGUGUUCCGGUCCCGUCCCACCGGGAGGAGACCCCGGGGAAGACCUAGGACACGCUGGAGGGACUAUGUCUCCCGGCUGGCCUGGGAACGCCUCGGUGUCCCCCCGGGAAGAGCUGGAGGAAGUGUCUGGGGAGAGGGAAGUCUGGGCAUCUCUGCUUAGACUGCUGCCCCCGCGACCCGUCCCCGGAUAAGUGGAAGAUGAUGAUGAUAAUGAAUUUACAUAGCUUAAGUCUCAAUUGUUUACCAGACAUGUUAAAAACCCUUAAUAUUUCCCUGUCUUUCUUAUCACCAGGAGAUUUCAUGAAGAUCAUGAAAAAUGGACUUCCAUGAGAAAGCAGUAGGCUACACCAAGUGAGGAACAGCUAGUUCUACUGGUACAGACACUGGACAUAUUGACCUCAGUUUUGCAACCAUUCCAUACCGGUUGUCAAUGUGGAUCCUGUCUGAGAUCCUGGAGGCUCCAGCUGAUUCUCAUGGCAGCCUCGGAGUCCAUGGGAAGGCUGACCACACCCCGAGGUCAAGUUCUCUCUAAUAGUUUCAUUUCAUAUUAAACUAUUAAUGUAUAUGGCUCUGGAAACUAGCAAAUAAAGAACAAAUAUUUUAAUACAUUCUGAAUGACAAAUUAUCUACAUUUGUGGGUAUUAGGAAAUUCUUCCCCUCUUAUUUGGACAAUAUUAUAACUAAGACCCGUGAUGCUAUGAUGUUAUAUCUUUUUUAGUUUUAUAUUUGUUUAUAUAUAUAAUUAAUUAGCUAAUAUAUGCAUUUCCAUUCUAGUGCCUUGCUGGUCCAUCAUUGGAACAAUGGGGGGUGUGGGUUUGGGACUUGAGUGUUUGAGGAAGAGUGUGGGUAGGAUUUAAUUAUACUUGAAUAUUUAUUCAAUGUUAGUUUUAUUUGUAUUUUCUCUUGUGGCAUCAUUAUAUAUUUUUUGUUCUAUUUCCGUUUUAUAAAAAUAUUAACUAAAGCAAAUCCCUGAUUAGUAUUUCACUCUUUAUGUGUGGGUCUAAUAAAACAAUCUGAAUCAAAUAGAGCAUCGCAUUUCCCCCACUGCAGACCAGAGCCUCAUUUUGAUUAGGAUUGUGCUUGGUUGUGAUAGGUGUUAGACAGGGUAAGGCCUGUUCAACACAAGGUGUGGUCACUUUAAUGGAGCUGUUGUUCUGUUGUUCCCUUUUAAUAGUGAUUUUGGGAAAAGAUACAGGUUCCUUUAGGGGUUUGGGUUGUGUUGGAACUAGAUUUUGCCUUUGGUUGUUGUUUUACUGUGUUCUUGUACAUUCAAAAAGAAAAUAAAUAUUAUAGGCACUGUCUCUGCCCCAUCCACCCUGGCUUCUUUUAACAACACAUUUGAAAUGGCAAAGGACAUAUUCCUUCAUCAAAUAUUAGUACAGCAUCAGCAACACAUUCAGCGUUAAUUGCCCUGAUUCUCAGAACAGUCUGAUAGUUGAUUCUGAGAUAAACACCACUUCAAAUAAAUGUAGGAUUUUUUAUUAGAUCACCCCGUGGCAGGAUAAAUGGCACUGCAGGACACUCAAGAGUGUAAUGGAAUUGAGAAUGGAAAAAGUUACUGAAAAUGUCAGACUUCAUUUUCCCUUAACAAAAAUGUAUCAUAUAAC
Long non-coding RNA from Esox lucius (northern pike), 3192 nucleotides. Lineage: Eukaryota; Metazoa; Chordata; Actinopteri; Esociformes; Esocidae. The record is from Ensembl.